GACGAACGCUGGCGGCGUGCUUAACACAUGCAAGUCGAACGGAAAGGCCCUGCUUUUGUGGGGUGCUCGGGUGGCGAACGGGUGAGUAACACGUGAGUAACCUGCCCUUGACUUUGGGAUAACUUCAGGAAACUGGGGCUAAUACCGGAUAGGAGCUCCUGCUGCAUGGUGGGGGUUGGAAAGUCUCGGCGGUUGGGGAUGGACUCGCGGCUUAUCAGCUUGUUGGUGGGGGAGUGGCUUACCAAGGAUUUGACGGGUAGCCGGCCUGAGAGGGUGACCGGCCACAUUGGGACUGAGAGACGGCCCAGACUCCUACGGGAGGCAGCAGUGGGGAAUAUUGCACAAUGGGCGGAAGCCUGAUGCAGCAACGCCGCGUGCGGGAUGACGGCCUUCGGGUUGUGAACCGCUUUCGCCUGUGACGAAGCGUGAGUGACGGUAAUGGGUAAAGAAGCACCGGCUAACUACGUG
RNAcentral lists this ribosomal RNA (468 nucleotides) under uncultured bacterium. Its description in RNAcentral is "partial 16S ribosomal RNA". It matches the Rfam family "Bacterial small subunit ribosomal RNA", at positions 28 to 507 of the family's 1533-position model. The record is from RNAcentral.